RNAcentral lists this long non-coding RNA (4570 nucleotides) under Zostera marina. RNAcentral's name for it is "long non-coding RNA (ZMAR_LNC001356)". The record is from RNAcentral. Lineage: Eukaryota; Viridiplantae; Streptophyta; Magnoliopsida; Alismatales; Zosteraceae.
AUUAUUUUAUAUUUUAAUAAGAAAAGUUCUUUCCUCUCUUCUUUUUGAAAUAAUUGUCCCCAAUUAUUUUAACCUAAUUUUUUCUUCUUCUUCAAGCAUCGACUCCUUCUUCUUGAUGCUCUUCCGUCGACUGUCUCCUCUGUCGACAUUCUCCGCUAGAAUCAUCUCCGCUGUAAUUCUUUACAUGGUAUCGAGAGCUAGCCACAUCCUUGGCCACCCUCCCCACUAGUAUUUUUCCACUAUCUCGUCGGUUCUUUUUCGUUCGCCGACACUAUCUUACUUGGCUCCGGUUCUUCUCAGAUCUCCUAUCUAGAUUUUUUUCUCUCAAGGGAGUAAACGGAUCAAACUGGUAAAAUUGUUCUGAUUUUAACAUCUAAUUAUUUACAGUUUUAAUCCCAUUUCGUUUUGCUGUCAAUUACAUUUAUUAUUAUUAUUUUCGUUGUAAAAUUGUUCUGAUUUUUUAAUUGCAUUCUUGCGGUCAAUUCCAAUUGCAUUCUUGCCAUUUCUGAUUUCUUUGAUUUCAUCUUCGUCGAUUUCCGAUUAUUUUCUGAUUUCAUCUUCGUCGUUUCCGAUUAUUUUUUUACAAAUAUUGUUCCGAUUUCUGCAAUCAUGAAUUUAUAAGAUUACAUUGAAAUCUAAGGUAAAAAUAGCAAUUUACCAUAGAAUGUAAACUUAGGAUCCAAGUGCAAUAAAUAGAACCUAAAGGUUAUAAGAAAAUGAAAUGAACCGUUUUGUUUUAUAAAUAGCAAGGUUUCUUUUGUAAAAGUUUCAGUAAAAUAUUGUUUGGAUCUUAAGGCAAUAAAAUAAAUAAAAGGUUAUCAAAAUACGUUUAUUAAUAUGGUUGUUGUUAAUAAAAGGUAUAAAUACUCAACUAUUGUACAAUAUUAAUUGUAUAAAGAGUUUUAAGUAAUUACCCAAAAAUAUAAACCAGGUCAAUAAGGACCUGGUAGUUAAUUCUAAUCUUUCAUGUAUCUUGCAGGAACCGAACUAAACUAAUGGACCAUGGACCAAGUUUUAAACAAGUCCAGUCCAGAUAUAAUUGAAUAUGUUUUAACUCGGUUAUUCAUAAUGUAAAGAUUAGUAGUUAAUCUUGUAUAUAUACAACAAUGUGAUUAACGUUAAAAUUCAAUACAAAGUAUAGUUCAGAUUAACAAAUUUCAUUCCUCCUUCUAAAUCUCCCUCCUCGUGCACGCUUAGUGACAGUUUAUUUAGGUAAACGCCUAAACACCAGUAGGCGGAAAACCCUAGCGACGCUUCCUCAAUAAACAAUAUAUUGUCAAAUCGUAAUCUUCAAUCUUCUGUAAUCAACAAUAUUACAGAUAUUGUUUCAAUAUAUUGUCCGAAAUUUUCUAUCACAGAUAUUGUUCCGACUUAUUUUUUUAGAUAUUUCCGAAAUCAAUAAUAUUCGUUGAUUCCCACUGUUGAGAUUACCGCGAGAAAGAAAUCGUCGAGGAUUGGGAUUCCGAUUUCAAUUCCGUUCCGAUUCAAUUGUUGGUUUUGCGAGAUUCAAUUGUUGAUUUGAUUUACGUUUUUUCCGAUUUUUUUAUUCGACUCUUCCUGUCAAUUAUUUUUGUUUUUGACUUUUGAUUCAAUUUCGUUUUCGAUUUGAUUCCGUUUCCAAUUUCGAGGAUUGUUGAUUCUCAUUCGAUUUUUUUUUCUCUCUUCCGUUUUCCAUUAUAGAUUUACUAUCAAUUCUCGAGAAUUUCGUUUCGUUAUCGUGAGAAAGAAAUCGCGAUUUCGACGAUUUCGAUAGUGGUUUCGAUUUUAUUCGUCUAUUUCGAUUUUGAUUUCGUUUUCGAUUUUGUUUUCUCGAUCUCGAUUUCAUUUCCGAUUCAAUCGACUAUCGCUGAUUUUAUUCUUCGAUUUUAUCGUCGUUUUUUUUUAUAUUUUUUUAUUUUCUUCACAUUUAAAUUCUCUGGUUUUUUGAGAUUUUUUUCUACUUUUGAUCGAUUUAUGAUAUACUAUUUUUGAAUCAUCUGAUUUUCAAUUGUGCCAUGCUAUUUUUCAUUAUUAUUUUUUAAUUGUUAUCUGUUUUUUUUGUUAACUGCAAUUAAUAGAAUUAAAAUCUGAUUUAGAAUCUGUUUUGUUUUUUUUUUCCUCCGUUUCUUAAUUGGAAUUAAUUCUUGAUAAUUGCAAUCUCAAUAUUUGCUUAAUAGUUGAUAUAUUGAAAAUGUGAGAAUAAUAAAAAAAAUCGUGAAUAAUCUUGCGAGAAUAAUUAGUUCUUUCCUUGAAGAAUUAAAAUAAUUUUCUACACUGUUUUUUUUAGUUUCUGAUUAAUUAGUAUCUUUCCUUGAAAAAUUAAAAUAUUUUUUUUUUCAAUUUAUAAUCUUUGGUAAUUGUUUUAAUCUCAGUAUAACUGAAAGAUGUCUACAUAUAGUAAUGAUAGUAGUCCAGAGGAGGAUAUUAAGUUUAGAAAAAAACAUAGAUGGAGAGGACCUAAUAUACUGUCUAUGUGUCCCAAUCCAAUGACAAAAGAGAAUUAUCUCGUUUGGAGAAGUCAAUUUAAAAGAGCACUUAGAAUGCAUCGUUUGCUACCCUAUGUUAAAGGAACUCUACCAACUCCUGCAAAAAAGUUGUUAGAUGGCACCAAUUUAAAAGAGCACUUAGAAUUCAUCUAUAAAUUGCUACAGUAUCUGCCCCUAUUCAGUCAUAUGUCUGUGCUUGUAAUUCUGCAUCAGAAGCAUAGAAAAUGCUUGAGGAAGAGUGGUCUCCUACAGACCCAACUCAUAUACAAACUCGGAGAAAAGAGAUGAAAGCUCUUAGGAAAACUACUGAUCUAUCUAUGAAGGAGUACAUACAAAAAUUUAAAGGUCUUAGAUACGUACUCAUUAAAGGUUGCAGGGUACAAGAGUUUAGAUGAUAAUAUAUAUGGUCAUUGAGAUGGUACUUGAUGGGCUGACCCCGAAAUAUAGAAUGUUCAAGUCUACACUACAUGGGAAACAACUGACCUUUAAAAAUCUUACUGAGUUACUAAUACAAGAAGAGAUUUUAAUUAACAAAAGUGACAUAGAAGAAAAAACUAGUGAAAUCUCUGCAAAUUAUGCAUCCCGCAAUUUUUACAGAAGGGGUAGAUGUUAUUAUAGAGGAAAUCCUUACUACAAUACCGGAAGAGGUCAACAACAAAAUCAACAAAAUAAUUCUACUCCUAGUCAUACUCAGGUUGUAACCAUCCUUAAACCAUUACUUAAAACUGAUAAACCUCCACUCUUGACAGUUCCUCCUUCACUUGAUACCUCGGUUGGCUGUUAAAUAUGUGAUAAAAUGGAUCACUUGGCCAGAUAUUGUCCUGAAAGAGGGAAUUUUACAGCCUAUUCAGUUGACCUUCCAAAUACUGAUGAAGACAUUCAGGCAAACUCUGUGACAGUGGGAAAUAUCAACUGGUACUUAGACUCUUGAGCUACAAAUCAUAUGACUUCAGAUGAUUCUGCCUUUGUGGAAUAUGAAGACUACACAGGUACAAAUGGUGUUAUUGUGGGAAAUGGAAAACAACCUAAAAUUGGUAAAAUGAGAUUUAUUCUAAAUAAUAAAACUUACACAUUAAAUCAUGUUCUGUACAUUUAAAUAUAUAAUUAUAGAUUUAUAGCUAAAUAUUUAAUAUAGACCACACCAAGAGCUUCUUUGUCUUCUCAAAACGGGUCUCAGACAGAGUGAUAAUUUCGGAAUUCCAAACGAAUGAGUUGUCGCUUAGAUACCUUAGGACUCCUCUCACAAGAAAGUUGGUAACACACAAAAAUUGUGAUCCUUUGAUCGCUGACUUGAAUGGCAUCCUCACGAGAUGAAGUAAGUAGAAACUAUCGUAUAUGGGGAGAGUCCAGAUCGUUGAAUGGAACUUCACCUGACACAGAGCAGCAAGGUGCAUCAGGUAAACCCACAAACAAUUCGAUCUAUUGCCUACAGGUUCAUCAUAUCUAGGGAACACAUAGGGAAGUUGCAUGGUCUAAUAUGAUCAAAACUAGAAGCCAAGAUGGAAUGGGUGUGAAUUGAAGGGCUUCAAAGGCAUCCAAACAAAAACAAUCGUGGAAAGGAUGAGUAUAAUGUGGGAAUUGAAGGAAAAGGCAUUUAAAGUGAAUUGAUGAACAAGCGUUAUGUCAAGAAAGCACCCCGUUGCACUCAAUUGGGUUUAGGCACAAUGAUUCCUCGAGCUUGAGAGCGAUAUUGUUCCAACGAAAAACCAUGGCAAAAUGCGUUGAUCGUGGGACGAAUCAGAUAGUAUUAAAGCUGCUAUUGGAUCAUCAAAAUUUUAUUUAAAUCAUUUAGAUAUCGGCCCAUGCAAAUGGCCCAAUCAGCUAUAAAUACAUCUUUUUGAUAAUCUUGUAAUCAACUCUUGAUAUUAUUUUGAUUAAUAGAAAACCCUAGGAAACUUCUUCCUAAACGUUGCUUCUUCUCGAUCUCUCUUCUCCGACGAUCAUCAUGUGCUCUCGUCACUGUGAAAUCUUCUCUUAAACUUAAUCGCUUAUUUUACUAUUGUCUUGCUCAUUUCACUGUGAUUGUUUAAACCCCUAAUCCUAUUUACGAUUUUAUCAGAUAGUGAUUUGGAAGGGGAAAGAACCGAUGACAUCAAACACAAUUG